AGCCUUGGGGUGUUUCACGUCAAAAUGCAAAUUUGAAGAAGGACCCAAACGGGUCCCGGGGCUU
This 64-nucleotide transfer RNA is filed under the name Phrynosoma ditmarsi. RNAcentral describes it as "tRNA-Cys". The record is from RNAcentral. Lineage: Eukaryota; Metazoa; Chordata; Lepidosauria; Squamata; Phrynosomatidae.